GACGAACGCUGGCGGCGUGCUUAACACAUGCAAGUCGAACGAGGUCCAACCGGUGGCAACACCGGAGACGACCUAGUGGCGAACGGGUGAGUAACACGUGAGGAACCUGCCCCGAAGUCUGGGAUAACCCCCCGAAAGGGGAGCUAAUACCGGAUGCCCCCAUCUGAUCGCAUGUUCGGAUGAGGAAAGGAUUCUGCUUCGGGAGGGCCUCGCGGCCUAUCAGCUUGUUGGUGAGGUAACGGCUUACCAAGGCGACGACGGGUAGCUGGUCUGAGAGGACGAUCAGCCACACUGGGACUGAGACACGGCCCAGACUCCUACGGGAGGCAGCAGUGGGGAAUCUUGCGCAAUGGGCGAAAGCCUGACGCAGCAACGCCGCGUGCGGGAUGACGGCCUUCGGGUUGUAAACCGCUUUCAGUGGGGACGAAAUCAGACGGUACCCACAGAAGAAGCCCCGGCCAACUACGUGCCAGCAGCCGCGGUAAUAC
This 488-nucleotide ribosomal RNA is filed under the name uncultured bacterium. RNAcentral's name for it is "bacterial SSU rRNA". It matches the Rfam family "Bacterial small subunit ribosomal RNA", at positions 28 to 526 of the family's 1533-position model. The record is from RNAcentral.